AGGAUGAACGCUGGCGGCGUGCUUAACACAUGCAAGUCGAGCGGAAAGGCCCUUCGGGGUACUCGAGCGGCGAACGGGUGAGUAACACGUGACUUAUCUACCUUUGAGUGGGGAAUAACCUGGGGAAACCCGGGCUAAUACCGCAUAAUACCUACGGGUCAAAGCAGCAAUGCGCUUAAAGAGGAGGUCGCGGUCGAUUAGUUAGUUGGCGGGGUAAUGGCCCACCAAGACGAUGAUCGAUAUCC
This 245-nucleotide ribosomal RNA is filed under the name uncultured bacterium. Its description in RNAcentral is "partial small subunit ribosomal RNA". It matches the Rfam family "Bacterial small subunit ribosomal RNA", at positions 26 to 288 of the family's 1533-position model. The record is from RNAcentral.